AAGAUCAACCUCUUAUCUUGAAUUCAUCACUUCAUUGGAAGCUUAUAGGAGGCAAAAAUGAAGAUGGAGAAUCAUUGGUUGGUAUGAACUUGCCUCCAAACACACACCUUUUGAUGAAACAAAAGCCAUUCCAAGGCCGGACUGUAGUAUCUGUAUUAACUGAUAACUGGAGGAUCUUACCGUCAGUUUAUAAUUAUCUCCUGGGACUAGCUGGAACAUGAAAUACUUAUAAGUAUGACACCAAACCUGACUAAAUUCUGCCAGGGAAGCAGAGACAGAUUUCUACGGAUAUUCAGUAUGGAUAUUCUGUAGCUAAUACUGUGCACAUUGAUGUUCUGUGAAUAUUUUCACACAAAAUCACCCCGCUGACUUCUGGUGGAGUUAGAUGUGGCAGUCCCUGAGGGAAAUUGGAGACAAAACUAUAUUUCAACUCAAUUUAGGCCUUAAUACAGAAAUAUCUCACUUUGAUGUCAUGAAACCUUAUUUUCUCUCUGCCAAUAAGUGCGGGGUGUCCCAUAAAUGUAAUCACUCUUUGACUGCACAUUACUCAUAAUUCUUGUUUUGAUUUAGUUGUUUACUGGCAUACUGAUGAGUCUAGAUAGUUAAAUUAAAGAAAAAGAAAAAUUAAAUGUUCUCAAAUAAAAAAAACAUAUUAUUAAUGGGCAGUCAAAAAUGUAGUACAUUUUAGGACACCUAUUUUUAAAAUUAGCAGUUACGAAUGUAAUAGGAGUAUUUGAAGCCUUAAACAAGAACUGCACUUUUUAAAUGUCAUACAGAUGUGAUUUGAUUCUAGUAUUACAUUAUAUUAGGGACGUAUUACCAAUACAUUCUUGAUUACAUCAUAGAUAUCUCAGUAUAAAUUAAAUUUUCUCAGCCUUUUAUUGGUUAAUGUGGUUGCUGUCAGUAAUUCAAUCUCUGCAGUCUUACCAUUUCCUGGUUGCAGCAUGAUUUCGUUUAUUGAUCAUCCAGCCUUAUCAGGGUUUGAAGAGUUACCUACUCAUCUUGUUAAUUACCUUCUACAUACUGUGUGGGAACAUGUGAAGCAGCUGGGUUACAUAAACGAGCUGUCAAUAAAAAAGAGAGACUUUGUUGAA
This is a long non-coding RNA of Lingula anatina, 1094 nucleotides long. The record is from RefSeq and is a predicted model, not a curated record. NCBI's taxonomy places the organism in Eukaryota, Metazoa, Brachiopoda, Lingulata, Lingulida, Lingulidae.